CAAGUCGAGCGAACGGACGAGAAGCUUGCUUCUCUGAUGUUAGCGGCGGACGGGUGAGUAACACGUGGAUAACCUACCUAUAAGACUGGGAUAACUUCGGGAAACCGGAGCUAAUACCGGAUAAUAUUUUGAACCGCAUGGUUCAAUAGUGAAAGACGGUCUUGCUGUCACUUAUAGAUGGAUCCGCGCUGCAUUAGCUAGUUGGUAAGGUAACGGCUUACCAAGGCAACGAUGCAUAGCCGACCUGAGAGGGUGAUCGGCCACACUGGAACUGAGACACGGUCCAGACUCCUACGGGAGGCAGCAGUAGGGAAUCUUCCGCAAUGGGCGAAAGCCUGACGGAGCAACGCCGCGUGAGUGAUGAAGGUCUUCGGAUCGUAAAACUCUGUUAUUAGGGAAGAACAUAUGUGUAAGUAACUGUGCACAUCUUGACGGUACCUAAUCAGAAAGCCACGGCUAACUACGUGCCAGCAGCCGCGGUAAUACGUAGGUGGCAAGCGUUAUCCGGAAUUAUUGGGCGUAAAGCGCGCGUAGGCGGUUUUUUAAGUCUGAUGUGAAAGCCCACGGCUCAACCGUGGAGGGUCAUUGGAAACUGGAAAACUUGAGUGCAGAAGAGGAAAGUGGAAUUCCAUGUGUAGCGGUGAAAUGCGCAGAGAUAUGGAGGAACACCAGUGGCGAAGGCGACUUUCUGGUCUGUAACUGACGCUGAUGUGCGAAAGCGUGGGGAUCAAACAGGAUUA
This 740-nucleotide ribosomal RNA is filed under the name uncultured Staphylococcus sp. Its description in RNAcentral is "bacterial SSU rRNA". It matches the Rfam family "Bacterial small subunit ribosomal RNA", at positions 58 to 780 of the family's 1533-position model. Lineage: Bacteria; Bacillati; Bacillota; Bacilli; Caryophanales; Staphylococcaceae. The record is from RNAcentral.